UAUUACUUACCUUGAAUUAAAAGUCAAGUUUUUGUUAUAAUAAACAACAUCAAUUGCAUCUUCAAAAAAUAAAUAAUUUUUGACAUAAAAGAUGACCCUUAUUUUACUCUCUUCGAACAAGAUGUUGAAAGUUGAAUGUUACAAGUUUACUCAUCACACUAUAGAAGGUAAUGAGAAUUUGACCUACCCUACCAGAGGCUGAGCAGAACACAAACUGGCCUUGCCCACCUGUCUGCGAGACUCUUCAACAAGCUGCCAAUAGCAGCAAGAGACCUAUCGACCAGGUGAUUCAAGGGCGCACUGAGGGGAUUGCUGGUGUAGAACCCUUUGUAUUCCAUCAAUGAGUUCUUUCUGUUGUACAACAAGCUGGUUCUGGAAUAAACACCGCUGGAGGCCAAGCUUCAGAUAAACGUUUCUGUUCGAAAGAUGUAAACAUAAACAAUUCAUGUAUAUCGAAUAUAAUUAUCAGUUGACAAUAAUUAAAAUUCCUUGAUAUAUUAUUACCUUUUUUAUUGUUAUUAUUUCAAUUUGAAUUGUGUUUUUUGCAUUGAAUUAUAUCAAAGAUUGUAAUGUU
Long non-coding RNA from Nilaparvata lugens (brown planthopper), 574 nucleotides. RefSeq lists it as uncharacterized. Lineage: Eukaryota; Metazoa; Arthropoda; Insecta; Hemiptera; Delphacidae. The transcript is spliced from 3 exons. The record is from RefSeq and is a predicted model, not a curated record.